Molecule: regulatory RNA element, 113 nt
Rfam family: pan motif
Source: Rfam
UGGGCGGUAUCUGAUUAGAACCGCACCACUUGUUUGGGUUGGUUGGGUAGGUGAUGCGUUUUGGAUUAAGCUAACAUACCUCCGCUUGGAGCCGGUAGGACCGAGACGGGUUU